This 515-nucleotide ribosomal RNA is filed under the name Escherichia coli. Its description in RNAcentral is "partial 23S ribosomal RNA". It matches the Rfam family "Bacterial large subunit ribosomal RNA", at positions 2334 to 2843 of the family's 2925-position model. Lineage: Bacteria; Pseudomonadati; Pseudomonadota; Gammaproteobacteria; Enterobacterales; Enterobacteriaceae. RNAcentral also lists the same sequence under 1 other name. The record is from RNAcentral.
GACAUCAGGAGGUUAGUGCAAUGGCAUAAGCCAGCUUGACUGCGAGCGUGACGGCGCGAGCAGGUGCGAAAGCAGGUCAUAGUGAUCCGGUGGUUCUGAAUGGAAGGGCCAUCGCUCAACGGAUAAAAGGUACUCCGGGGAUAACAGGCUGAUACCGCCCAAGAGUUCAUAUCGACGGCGGUGUUUGGCACCUCGAUGUCGGCUCAUCACAUCCUGGGGCUGAAGUAGGUCCCAAGGGUAUGGCUGUUCGCCAUUUAAAGUGGUACGCGAGCUGGGUUUAGAACGUCGUGAGACAGUUCGGUCCCUAUCUGCCGUGGGCGCUGGAGAACUGAGGGGGGCUGCUCCUAGUACGAGAGGACCGGAGUGGACGCAUCACUGGUGUUCGGGUUGUCAUGCCAAUGGCACUGCCCGGUAGCUAAAUGCGGAAGAGAUAAGUGCUGAAAGCAUCUAAGCACGAAACUUGCCCCGAGAUGAGUUCUCCCUGACUCCUUGAGAGUCCUGAAGGAACGUUGAAG